This 3108-nucleotide ribosomal RNA is filed under the name Triticum aestivum (bread wheat). Its description in RNAcentral is "partial small subunit ribosomal RNA". The record is from RNAcentral. Lineage: Eukaryota; Viridiplantae; Streptophyta; Magnoliopsida; Poales; Poaceae.
AUGGCUGCCCGCGCGCUGGUCGCACCCCCUCUGCCUCCUCCCCCCCGUCUGGGCACCAUGCGGGCAACCCCGCGCGCCGCCGCCGGUCUCAGCUCAGCGCUGACCGGUCACCGGGGAAGGCACACUUUGUGUUCAGUGCAAUUGACGGAAUCCCCCAGUGGCAAUCUUCAGGUGGAAGCAAACUCGUCUCAUUCCCCAACUCAACUGAUGUCUACAGGACGUGAUGACUCAGCCAUAACAUGUAAAGGAUUCUGUACGAUAUCAUGGAGCGUUAAAGCAGAUGUUAUGGAUGGUCACAUUAUCUUCAUGACAGGUGAUCCAGUUACCCUGGGUUGUUGGGAACCUGAUAUGGCUGUUCAGUUGAAUCCUUCUGUGAAAAGUAGCAAUAAAUGGACGGCUGUAAUCAAGGUACCAUAUGGCGUGCAUUUCAAGUAUAAUUAUUUUGUUCGAGAGGGAAAAAAUUCCUCUAAUGACAUCGUAUGGAGGCCUGGACCUGAGUGCUCCUUAUCGAUACCUUCUGUUAGCCAGAAAAAUCAUGUCAUCCUUGUAAAAGAUCAGUGGAUGGAAACCAGUGUGGCAGGUAUUUCCUCUCCUUCCUGGGGAUCGUGGCUGAUGGAAGCUGAUUCUGUUGAAGAUCAAAUUGCUGAGAGAGGGAAGCAUGAGAGCAUUGUGAAAGCCCACUCUGUUAUAGAUAUGGUGGACGGAGCUUCAUCUGUAGGUGAGCAUAUUAUAAUGAGACUUUGGAAUGGCACACCUUUAGCUUCAGUCAGUCCAUCCAUCAGUGUGCAUGAUGAUUUUGCUGCAGCUGAUAAAUCAAAUGCAAUUAAAGUAAGUGUAAACCAGCAUGAGAUAAAUCAGCCUGUUGAGGAGCCAUGGGUUUUUGGACCUAUCGUCUCAGCAAAGAACUCUGUUGCACAAGUGAAACGCAAGAAAGACAGAAGGAAGUUUUUGAAUACGGAAAAGGAUUCAGGUGAAAUAACUGAAAACAUGCCUGAACAGGACCAGCCUGUGGAGGAGCCAUGGUUAUUUCAGUCUUGGGUGACAGCAAACAGAGCUGGUGUUAUAUCAAAACGGAAAGUAGAAGCAAAGGGUAUUAUGAAAAGGUUAAAAGAAUUUGAUAAACCCUCAGCAGCUUCUGAGAAGGAUAUGCUCGCCAGUGGUGAACCGCCAAGAGUCAUAUUAAUUAACUCCUCUAUCUGCAGUACACAGAGAAUUGCAGUAUUGGAAGAUGGGAAAUUAGUUGAACUCUUGCUGGAGCCCAUAAAAAACAAUGUACAUUGUGACAGUAUUUAUUUAGGUAUAAUAACAAAACUUGUGCCUCACAUGGGAGGUGCUUUUGUCGACAUUGGAAUUUUGAGACCUUCACUUAUGAGCAUAAAGCAAAACCGUGAUCCAUUUGUGUAUCCUCAAAUUGUCAAGGAUAUUAAAGGAGGUUCUGCUAAUGAUUCUGGUUAUAAUGAUGAGAGCCUUCUGACAUACGAUGAUGAUGAUGAUGUUGAUGAUGAUAUGGCUGACAACGAGUUUGCAGAUGAAGAAAAUGACGAUGAUUCAUCAACAUUUCUGGCUCAGAAUGUUAAGGAAAAUGAAGAAGGCUUGGACAUUGUGUCCCAUUCUAAUAUAAAGAAGAUUGAUGGUGCUGAAUUUGAAAAUGUCUCUGGUUGGGAUGAUGAAAUUGAUGAUCAUGUGGAAGAUGAAUACAAUGAUGAUCACUCACCAGGAGAUCGGUGGUCUCAAGUUCGCAAGGGCACAAAGAUCAUGGUUCAAGUUGUCAAGGAGGGAUUGGGCACGAAAGGUCCAACACUGAGUCCCUUUCCAUGCUUAAGAAGCCGAUUUUGGAUAUUGGUCUCUCGUGGCAACAAAGUUGGAGUUUCAAAAAAGAUUACUGGGAUAGAACGCACCCGGUUGAAGGGCAUUACAAAGUUAUUACGACCUCCUGGAUUUACUCUGACGGCUCGUACAGUUGCCGCUGGCCAUUCUUGGGAGGAGUUAAACAAGGACCUUGAUCGGUUGUUAUCUACCUGGAAAGGAAUAACUGAACAUGCUCAAUCUGCUGCCCUAGCUGCCGAGGAGGGUGUGGAAGGUGCUAUUCCUGUUAUGUUGUAUAGAUCAAAGGGCCAGGCUCUAUCUAUUGUUCAAGAUGAUUUUAAUGAGAAGGUCAAGAGGUUGGUUGUGGAUUCUCCUCGCACCUACCAUGAGGUUACGGGCUAUCUCCAAGAGGUUGCACCUGAGCUCUGCAAUCGAGUCGACCUCUACGAGAAAAGAACUCCCAUAUUCGAUGAAUAUAAGAUUGAAAAGGAGAUCGACAAUAUUCUCUGCAAAAGGGUUGUGCUACAGAAUGGGGGUUCUUUAAUUAUAGAACAGACUGAAGCUCUAGUUUCCAUUGAUGUGAAUGGUGGCCACAGUAUGUUUGGUCAAGGGACGUCGCAGGAGAAGGCUAUUUUAGAUGUCAAUCUUGAAGCUGCAAAGCAAAUUGCUCGCGAGCUGCGCUUGAGGGAUAUUGGUGGCAUCAUUGUUGUUGAUUUUAUCGACAUGACGGACGAUUCAAACAAAAGAUUAGUCUAUGAAGAAAUGAAGAAAGCAGUAGAAAAGGACCGCUCAACCGUUGGUGUUUCAGAAUUGUCAAAGCUAGGUUUGAUGGAAAUAACUAGAAAAAGGGUUCGACCAAGUGUUACUUUCAUGAUCAGCGAGCCUUGUCCAUGUUGCCAUGGUAUUGGUCGUGUUGAAGCUCUUGAUACGUCCUUUUCUAAGAUAGAACGUGAAAUCUGUCGACGCCUGGCCGUCUCUGGUCAUAAAUCAGAUCCAGAGAAACCAAAAUCGUGGCCAAGAUUUUUGCUUAGGGUGGACCAUGAGAUGUGCACGUACUUGACAUCAGGCAAAAGGACUAAAUUAGGGAUCCUUAGUAGCUCCCUCAAAGUUUGGGUUUUGUUGAAGAUUGCUCGAGGUUUUACACGGGGUGCAUUUGAAUUGCUACCAUAUUCUGAUCAGAAGGACACAGAUGAGCAGAAGGAAUUAUCACCAGAGUCACCACUUCCAAGGGAAGCAGGAAGACCGAGACUGUCUGUUUUUCCUAUAAAGAAAUGGAUGAGCCGUGCAAAGCGAGCCAAGUGA